Molecule: long non-coding RNA, 306 nt
Filed under: Homo sapiens (human)
Lineage: Eukaryota; Metazoa; Chordata; Mammalia; Primates; Hominidae
Description: non-protein coding ITGB1-DT:37
Source: RNAcentral
AGAUCCGCUGCUGCAUCACGGCUCGGCAGGGCUCUCUGGGUUCUCAGUGCCCUCCUAGGUCUGCAAUGCAGUGCGGGAGAGGAGGAAUAUGGGCUUGUGGGGGCAGGGGCAGCGCCCGGACUCCUCCCGGGGCAGGACUCCCAGAAACGCAGGAAGCGAUGACGCUGCUCAGAUAAACCCUGGCGCUCUGCGCUGGCGUCCUGGUCAGGAGCUCCUCUGCCACGGACGCGCCUGCCGUUUCUGCCUUCGUUAUCUAUUUACUGACCUCUCAUCUCCCCAGAAGAUGUUCUCAGUUCUCAGCAGUCA